UCCGGGGUCGUCUAAUCGGUAGGACUCCAGACUUUGAAUCUGGCUAUCGUGGUUCGAGUCCACGCCCCGGAGCCA
This 75-nucleotide transfer RNA is filed under the name Acidobacteriota bacterium. RNAcentral describes it as "tRNA-Gln". It matches the Rfam family "tRNA". Rfam says of the family: Transfer RNA (tRNA) molecules are approximately 80 nucleotides in length. Their secondary structure includes four short double-helical elements and three loops (D, anti-codon, and T loops). Lineage: Bacteria; Pseudomonadati; Acidobacteriota. RNAcentral also lists the same sequence under 3 other names. The record is from RNAcentral.